This 421-nucleotide ribosomal RNA is filed under the name uncultured eukaryotic phytoplankton. RNAcentral's name for it is "bacterial SSU rRNA". It matches the Rfam family "Bacterial small subunit ribosomal RNA", at positions 359 to 795 of the family's 1533-position model. The record is from RNAcentral.
GGAAUUUUCGCAAUGGGCGAAAGCCUGACGGAGCAAUACCGCGUGAGGGAUGACGGCCUGUGGGUUGUAAACCUCUUUUCUCAAGGAAGAAGUUCUGACGGUACUUGAGGAAUAAGCAUCGGCUAACUCUGUGCCAGCAGCCGCGGUAAUACAGAGGAUGCAAGCGUUAUCCGGAAUCACUGGGCAUAAAGCGUCUGUAGGUGGUCUGGUAAGUCUGCUGUUAAAGACUGGGGCUCAACCCCAGAAAAGCAGUGGAAACUGCCAGACUUGAGUGUGGUAGAGGUAGAGGGAAUUCCUAGUGUAGCGGUGAAAUGCGUAGAUAUUAGGAAGAACACCAAUGGCGAAGGCACUCUACUGGGCCAUAACUGACACUGAGAGACGACAGCUAGGGGAGCAAAUGGGAUUAGAUACCCCAGUAGUC